GUGCUUGUUUCAGCGGCACAUAUACUAAAACUGGAAAGAUACAGAAAAGAUUAGCAAUGGUCCCUGUAUAAGGAUGACACACAAAUUCAUGAAGUGUUCCAUAUUUUU
Molecule: small nuclear RNA, 108 nt
Organism: Choloepus hoffmanni (Hoffmann's two-fingered sloth)
Lineage: Eukaryota; Metazoa; Chordata; Mammalia; Pilosa; Megalonychidae
Source: Ensembl